This 482-nucleotide ribosomal RNA is filed under the name uncultured bacterium. RNAcentral's name for it is "partial 16S ribosomal RNA". It matches the Rfam family "Bacterial small subunit ribosomal RNA", at positions 30 to 507 of the family's 1533-position model. The record is from RNAcentral.
AUUGAACGCUGGCGGCAUGCCUUACACAUGCAAGUCGAACGGUAACAGCACUUCGGUGGCUGACGAGUGGUGAACGGGUGAGUAAUACAUAGGAACGUGUCUAGUAGUGGGGGAUAACUACUCGAAAGAGUAGCUAAUACCGCAUGCGAUCUAAGGAUGAAAGCAGGGGACCUUCGGGCUUUGCGCCACUAGAGCGGCUGCUGGCAGAUUAGGUAGUUGGUGGGAUAAAAGCUUACCAAGCCGACGAUCUGUAGCUGGUCUGAGAGGACGACCAGCCACACUGGAACUGAGACACGGCCCAGACUCCUACGGGAGGCAGCAGUGGGGAAUUUUGGGCAAUGGGCGCAAGCCUGAUCCAGCAAUGCCGCGUGCAGGAUGAAGGCCUUCGGGUUGUAAACUGCUGUUGUACGGAACGAAAAGCCCUCUUCUAAUACAGGAGGGUCAUGACGGUACCGAAAGAAUAAGCACCGGCUAACUACGUG